This 490-nucleotide ribosomal RNA is filed under the name uncultured bacterium. RNAcentral describes it as "partial 16S ribosomal RNA". It matches the Rfam family "Bacterial small subunit ribosomal RNA", at positions 28 to 507 of the family's 1533-position model. The record is from RNAcentral.
GAUGAACGCUAGCUACAGGCUUAACACAUGCAAGUCGCGGGGCAGCAUGGGGGUUGCUUGCAAUCCCCGAUGGCGACCGGCGCACGGGUGAGUAACGCGUAUCCAACCUGCCCUUCACCACGGGAUAACCCGGCGAAAGUCGGACUAAUACCGUAUGUUGUCCAUUGACGGCAUCCGAUUUGGACGAAAGGGUUGGCGGUGAAGGAUGGGGAUGCGUCCGAUUAGCUGGACGGCGGGGUGCCGGCCCACCGUGGCGACGAUCGGUAGGGGUUCUGAGAGGAAGGUCCCCCACACUGGAACUGAGACACGGUCCAGACUCCUACGGGAGGCAGCAGUGAGGAAUAUUGGUCAAUGGGCGUAAGCCUGAACCAGCCAAGUAGCGUGCAGGAUGACGGCCCUAUGGGUUGUAAACUGCUUUUAUGCGGGGAUAAAGUGGCCCACGUGUGGGUUUUUGCAGGUACCGCAUGAAUAAGGACCGGCUAAUUCCGUG